AAAGAAUUAGUUAAAAUUAACAUUAGUAUGUCAUGCUAAAAUUAUUAGUAUAAUCUAAUAUUCUUUGA
RNAcentral lists this transfer RNA (68 nucleotides) under Chloronia mexicana. RNAcentral's name for it is "tRNA-Asp". The record is from RNAcentral. Lineage: Eukaryota; Metazoa; Arthropoda; Insecta; Megaloptera; Corydalidae.